Molecule: ribosomal RNA, 445 nt
Filed under: uncultured bacterium
Lineage: Bacteria
Description: partial 16S ribosomal RNA
Rfam family: Bacterial small subunit ribosomal RNA
Source: RNAcentral
GUGAGGAAUAUUGGUCAAUGGGCGCAAGCCUGAACCAGCCAUGCCGCGUGCAGGAUGACUGCCCUAUGGGUUGUAAACUGCUUUUAUACGGGAAGAAACCCCUCCACGUGUGGAGGAUUGACGGUACCGUAAGAAUAAGGAUCGGCUAACUCCGUGCCAGCAGCCGCGGUAAUACGGAGGAUCCAAGCGUUAUCCGGAAUCAUUGGGUUUAAAGGGUCCGUAGGCGGGUCUGUAAGUCAGUGGUGAAAUCUCCCGGCUCAACCGGGAAACUGCCAUUGAUACUGCAGGUCUUGAAUGUUUGUGAAGUAACUAGAAUAUGUAGUGUAGCGGUGAAAUGCUUAGAUAUUACAUGGAAUACCGAUUGCGAAGGCAGGUUACUAACAAAUGAUUGACGCUGAUGGACGAAAGCGUGGGGAGCGAACAGGAUUAGAUACCCGUGUAGUCC